This 494-nucleotide ribosomal RNA is filed under the name uncultured bacterium. Its description in RNAcentral is "partial 16S ribosomal RNA". It matches the Rfam family "Bacterial small subunit ribosomal RNA", at positions 28 to 507 of the family's 1533-position model. The record is from RNAcentral.
GACGAACGCUGGCGGCGUGCUUAACACAUGCAAGUCGAACGGUGAAGCGCCUUCCUUUUUGGUGGGUGUGGAUGAGUGGCGAACAGGUGCGUAACACGUGAGUAACCUGCCCCCUUCUACUGGAUAACCGCAUGAAAGUGUGGCUCAUACGGGAUAUCCUGCUUCUGUCGCAUGAUGGGACUGGUUCAGCUGUUGUUUCGGUGGUCGCUGGGCGCGCGGCCUAUAAGCUUGUUGGUGGGGUGAUGGCCUACCACGGCGGUGACGGGUAGCCGGCCUGGGAGGGUGGACGGUCACAGUGGGAGUGAGACACGGUCGAGACUCCGACGGGAGGCAGCAGUGGGGAAUAUUGCACAGUGGGCGCAAGCCUGAAGCAGCGAGGCCGCGUGAGGGAUGGAGGCCUGCGGGUUGUGAACCUCUUUCGCCAGUGAAGCAGGCCUGCCUCGUUUGUGGGUGGGUUGACGGUAGCUGGAUAAGAAGCGCCGGCUAACUACGUG